This 268-nucleotide small nucleolar RNA is filed under the name Helianthus annuus (common sunflower). Lineage: Eukaryota; Viridiplantae; Streptophyta; Magnoliopsida; Asterales; Asteraceae. The record is from RNAcentral.
GGUUCGAUGCCACGUCGGCGGUAGCUAAAGGUGCAAUGACCGACGAUGCUAUGAUUGAACCGAUAUCAAGUUUCGCAUUUUAUAGGAACCUGUGAACUGAUAUGUUUUCGUUCAUUCACAGAGCCGGUUUUUGUGAUUACAUUUUGAUUUUCAAAACUGUUGUUUAAUUGAUUGAAAAAAGUUGAAAGCCAAUGAUGAUGUAAAUAUAAAAUGUUGGAAUUACCGACUGAUUUCAUUUUGAUGAUAACUAGGCUGCCUGAGGCUUUUU